GAUCCUGGCUCAGGAUGAACGCUAGCUACAGGCUUAACACAUGCAAGUCGAGGGGAAACGACAUCGAAAGCUUGCUUUUGAUGGGCGUCGACCGGCGCACGGGUGAGUAACGCGUAUCCAACCUGCCCAUCACUUGGGAAUAACCUUGCGAAAGUAAGACUAAUGCCCAAUGAUAUCCCGCGAAGGCAUCCGAAUGGGAUUAAAGAUUUAAUCGGUGAUGGAUGGGGAUGCGUCUGAUUAG
This 241-nucleotide ribosomal RNA is filed under the name uncultured bacterium. RNAcentral describes it as "partial 16S ribosomal RNA". It matches the Rfam family "Bacterial small subunit ribosomal RNA", at positions 15 to 244 of the family's 1533-position model. The record is from RNAcentral.